AGCAGAAAUUUUAGUGUUCAUGUGUGAAAUGGUACUGUUUAGGCCUGAUGGAUGCUUAGAAAAAGGCAAACACAGCUGAGUUAGCAGCAUCUCUCUUAUCUAUUGAAGUGAAGUCAAGAAAAAAAUUGGCAAGGACUUGAUUUCUGGGGAGGUGCCCUACAACCCCUACUCACUGUUUGAGAAGAGGAAUUUGAUAUAAUGUAAUUGUGUAGCCUAAGAUGGAAUAUAGAAGAACCAUAAAAAACAAAACAAAAAAUCAUGCAAAACUGAAAUGGAAGAAUCGUCUUCCUCGAUCAUAAAUAUAAAUUCUACAUGAGCAUAAGGAAGGCAAACAAAUCGUCUUCAAACGAUGACAGAGAGAUGCCCUUCAGAAAAAAAAUCAUGGUUAAAAUUCCUUGUUAAUCCCUGAGCAGCAAAUUGUUUGAGAUAUCUGACAGUCAUUCUCGUCUCUUCAUACUCUUCUGUACUGGAAAAACAGUUGUUCUGGAGACUGCAGUGCCAAGGCCUGUCUAGUAAUCUGUGCAGUAACAGGGAAAAUGAAUUAUUAAACUGCUUUCUUUCUUUUAGUAAACAAAUACUCAAACUAAUGAACACCUCUUUCUUAUUUAUUUCCAUCCUCCUUCUCUCCAUUGGAUUGUGAAGUAUGGCUUGGAUCACAAGAUCACAGUGCAAUGUUCCUUGCAUGGCGUUCAGGGUGUAUGAAGGAGAAAAGGGAAGUGAAGCACAUGAUUCAAUUGCAAGUCACUAGACAUAAGGCUGCCGUUAGGUGCUGUGAUGCAGCAGCAGUUAAACUAGUCAUUCGUGAAAGAAAGGGCUAUGUGUUUGUGGUGGCAUGGCACAGAAGGCUGAGGAUAGAGUAAAAAACAGCAGCUAGCAUAAAAUUCUUCCUUUCAGAAGAUAAUCAUGUUGUGGCUCCUCAAUGAGUUUCAAACUGUUGCCUACUGUGUUGUCUGCUGUUGUUGUAUGGUUCUUAGGAGAGGAGUUAAAGAACGCUUCAGAUAGGUAGAGGCAAGGGAGAUGCUUUGGGGAAGAGUUUUGGCAGGAAUUUUUCCUUUGUUUUUUGUUCUCUUGGCCAAAAUAAGUGUUCAGGGCUUUCUUUAAACCUGAAUUGGAGAAGUAUUUUAGUGUGUGCAUAUGUGUGUGUCAGUUCUUGCAGUUUUUGAGUAAUAAAAUUCCGGUUUAAUCC
This 1186-nucleotide long non-coding RNA is filed under the name Gallus gallus (chicken). RNAcentral's name for it is "lncRNA (ENSGALG00010008499.1)". Lineage: Eukaryota; Metazoa; Chordata; Aves; Galliformes; Phasianidae. The record is from RNAcentral.